GAGCAUAUGGAGAAUUGCUUGCAGCAGGCUGUUGUUAAAGGGGAGACCGGGGCAAGAUGUCACACCGACCUAUAACUCAGUGAGUGUUUCUCAGGAGCUUGAGAGGAGCCAAGCAGCUCUCUACAUACUGACCCAGACUGCUCAUUGUUGCCAGGAAAUAUCUUGAAAAGAACGAUGGAGGCAGGGGAAAAUCAGACUGGUGAAGCGAAAACAAGAAAUCAACAGCUUUAAGGUAUUCUUCUGACUUUUGAUUCAUAUACACUCCACAUGCUGUGUUUUGCAUGACAGAAAUAGCGAAAGUUCGACAGAGAGCCGAAUCGGAAGUGGGAGAAAAAUCCUCCGCGUUUAGACAUCAGCUUUCCUCCUACCGCAGUAUGUUGGUGUUUGAUAAAGACCUGUUACCGAGGCAACACGGACCU
Long non-coding RNA from Triplophysa dalaica, 419 nucleotides. RefSeq lists it as uncharacterized. The record is from RefSeq and is a predicted model, not a curated record. The transcript is spliced from 4 exons. Lineage: Eukaryota; Metazoa; Chordata; Actinopteri; Cypriniformes; Nemacheilidae.